GAUGAACGCUAGCGGGAGGCCUAACACAUGCAAGCCGAGCGGUAGAGAUUCUUCGGGAUCUUGAGAGCGGCGUACGGUGCGGAACACGUGUGCAACCUACCUUUAUCUGGAGGAUAGCCUUUCGAAAGGAAGAUUAAUACUCCAUAAUAUAUUGAUUGGCAUCGAUUGAUAUUGAAAGCUCCGGCGGAUAGAGAUGGGCACGCGCAAGAUUAGCUAGUUGGUGAGGUAACGGCUCACCAAGGCGAUGAUCUUUAGGGGCCUGAGAGGGUGAUCCCCACACUGGUACUGAGACACGGACCAGACUCCUACGGGAGGCAGCAGUGAGGAAUAUUGGUCAAUGGGUGCAAGCCUGAACCAGCCAUCCCGCGUGAAGGACGACUGCCCUAUGGGUUGUAAACUUCUUUUGUAUAGGGAUAACCUACCCUCGUGAGGGUAGCUGAAGGUACUAUACGAAUAAGCACCGGCUAACUCCGUGCCAGCAGCCGCGGUAAU
RNAcentral lists this ribosomal RNA (492 nucleotides) under uncultured bacterium. RNAcentral's name for it is "bacterial SSU rRNA". It matches the Rfam family "Bacterial small subunit ribosomal RNA", at positions 28 to 524 of the family's 1533-position model. The record is from RNAcentral.